GAAAACCAAGGUGGUAUGGGAUGGACCCGCGUCUGAUUAGCUAGUUGGCGGGGUAAAGGCCCACCAAGGCGACGAUCAGUAGCCGGCCUGAGAGGGUGGACGGCCACAUUGGGACUGAGACACGGCCCAAACUCCUACGGGAGGCAGCAGUGGGGAAUAUUGCACAAUGGGGGAAACCCUGAUGCAGCGACGCCGCGUGAGUGAAGAAGUAAUUCGUUAUGUAAAGCUCUAUCAGCAGGGAAGAAAAUGACGGUACCUGAGUAAGAAGCCCCGGCUAACUACGUGCCAGCAGCCGCGGUAAUACGUAGGGGGCAAGCGUUAUCCGGAUUUACUGGGUGUAAAGGGAGCGUAGACGGCAGUGCAAGUCUGGAGUGAAAGGCGGGGGCUCAACCCCCGGACUGCUCUGGAAACUGUACGGCUGGAGUGCAGGAGAGGUAAGUGGAAUUCCUAGUGUAGCGGUGAAAUGCGUAGAUAUUAGGAGGAACACCAGUGGCGAAGGCGGCUUACUGGACUGUAACUGACGUUGAGGCUCGAAAGCGUGGGGAGCAAACAGGAUUAGAUACCCUGGUAGUCCACGCCGUAAACGAUGAUCACUAGGUGUCGGGGGUUAAAGAACCUUCG
This 621-nucleotide ribosomal RNA is filed under the name uncultured bacterium. RNAcentral describes it as "bacterial SSU rRNA". It matches the Rfam family "Bacterial small subunit ribosomal RNA", at positions 202 to 842 of the family's 1533-position model. The record is from RNAcentral.